Molecule: ribosomal RNA, 497 nt
Filed under: uncultured bacterium
Lineage: Bacteria
Description: partial 16S ribosomal RNA
Rfam family: Bacterial small subunit ribosomal RNA
Source: RNAcentral
GAUGAACGCUGGCGGCGUGCCUAAUACAUGCAAGUCGAGCGAACAGACGAGGAGCUUGCUCCUCUGACGUUAGCGGCGGACGGGUGAGUAACACGUGGAUAACCUACCUAUAAGACUGGGAUAACUUCGGGAAACCGGAGCUAAUACCGGAUAAUAUAUUGAACCGCAUGGUUCAAUAGUGAAGGACGGUUUUGCUGUCACUUAUAGAUGGAUCCGCGCCGCAUUAGCUAGUUGGUAAGGUAACGGCUUACCAAGGCAACGAUGCGUAGCCGACCUGAGAGGGUGAUCGGCCACACUGGAACUGAGACACGGUCCAGACUCCUACGGGAGGCAGCAGUAGGGAAUCUUCCGCAAUGGGCGAAAGCCUGACGGAGCAACGCCGCGUGAGUGAUGAAGGUCCUCGGAUCGUAAAACUCUGUUAUUAGGGAAGAACAAAUGUGUAAGUAACUAUGCACGUCUUGACGGUACCUAAUCAGAAAGCCACGGCUAACUACGUG